CACCGGCGGCUCGAGUGGUGGCCACUUUUAUUGGGUCUAAAGCGUCCGUAGCCGGUCCAGUAAGUCCCUGUUUAAAUCCUGCGGCUUAACCGCAGGACUGGCAGGGAUACUGCUGGACUUGGGACCGGGAGAGGUGAGAGGUACCUCAGGGGUAGGGGUGAAAUCUUGUGAUCCCGGGAGGACCACCGGUGGCGAAGGCGCUCGGCUGGAACGGGUCCGACGGUGAGGGACGAAGGCCAGGGGAGCGAACCGG
Molecule: ribosomal RNA, 253 nt
Filed under: uncultured microorganism
Description: partial 16S ribosomal RNA
Rfam family: Archaeal small subunit ribosomal RNA
Source: RNAcentral